GCUGGUCAGGAUGCAUUGCCGGAUAAAUGACACCCAAAGAGCAUCAAAAUACCAGGGAAAUGUUCAAGCCACUGCUGUGUCUGGGGUGCCUAAAUCAGCUACCACAAUGAGACAGCUCAUGGAAAAACUUUGCCUGGGUUUAAGUGAUCUGGCCAGCUCAAGGCUUCGGUUAUGAAGACAACACAAGGGAAUAGCAGCGAGUCCAGGGAAAUUCUAGUGUUGAAGCAGCAGAAGAUAAUUGUUUCAAGAAGAUAAGAGCCUCUUGGGGAAGAAGGCCAUCAAACUGGUA
Molecule: long non-coding RNA, 289 nt
Organism: Catharus ustulatus (Swainson's thrush)
Lineage: Eukaryota; Metazoa; Chordata; Aves; Passeriformes; Turdidae
Exons: 3
Source: RefSeq, a predicted model, not a curated record